This is a long non-coding RNA of Bombus pyrosoma, 1013 nucleotides long. RefSeq lists it as uncharacterized. The transcript is spliced from 3 exons. NCBI's taxonomy places the organism in Eukaryota, Metazoa, Arthropoda, Insecta, Hymenoptera, Apidae. The record is from RefSeq and is a predicted model, not a curated record.
ACACGUAGGCCAGGUUUAGUUAAAGUUUCAUUCGAAAAAUACCAAGAAAAAUCCAUUACCGAAAGAACGGAAGCAGCAUGAAAGAAGGUUGGUCAAAAAAGUACCAAAAUAUCUCUUCAGGCACGUAAAAUUCAAAGCCAUCGUUCUGUAAGUCCUAAGAUAUAAAAGCACAAUCAUUCAUAGGAAAUGUGAUGGAAAAGUUAGACAAAAACUGUAGAUGAAACAUAUUAAAAUACACUGCAUCUUCCUUUCGAAGUAAGUUACAAUAUCAAUAUAUCAAUCAACAAUAUCAGCAACAUGUUGUUACGUACUAUACGUAAAUAUCGACUUACAUUUACAAAAUAGCCUUUGAAUUUUCCCAUUUUGUGCAUUCGUUUCGAGGUUAUCAUCGUUUGAUACGAGAAAGUUCCAAUUCGCCUUUCGCAUCAACUUGGUUCUACAUCGCAUUUGCCAUAAACGAUUGCGCUUAAAGAGAACGAUGCCUCGUUGGAAUUUUAGACGCUCGAAGGCCUAGAAAUUUGCCAUUCUUUUCACCAACUCCUGGCAUACACAACCAGGACAUCGAUUCCGCGGAAAUUCGCGCACAGAAGAAAAAUGCAGGACGAGGCAGAGACGCAUCGUGGCACAAAGAGGAAUUGGACGGACUUUGCCGCGCACAAAGCGGCCACAAGACCGGGAACCACGGUGCAAAUAGUUAAUUGACGGUGGAAGACAGUUUAAUAGUUGUUAUUGGCCUUAACACGUUGACUGCGAUCCAAACUUUUUUUUACACUUUGUCCUGGAAAUCGUAGCAGAUGAAAGUACAUUAUCAAAAAUUUAGUGACGUGGUUUAUCGAUGAUCGCCGUGGCAGACAACGCGUUAAUCGAAAUUAAAAUCAAGGUCGAGAAAAAUUAUACUGCGAUAAACUUGAACCGACUAUAUUACAGAUCUAACUUAAGGAAAAUCAAUCUAACUCACAAGAUCUAAAUCACUGACAUUCUAAUUGGACGUUUUGUGAAUGGCUUUUGAGACA